UCGGGCAGCAUGCUGUUCGGUGUCACACCUAACGGAUUAAGCAUUCCGCCUGGUGAGUUCGUCUGCAAGGUUAAUACUCAUAGGAAUUGACGGGGGCCCGCACAUAUCGGUGGAGCAUGUGGUUUAAUUCGAAGCAACGCGCAGAACCUUACCAACCCUUGACAUCCUGGUCGCGGUUACCCGAGAGGGUUUCCUUCAGUUCGGCUGGACCAGUGACAGGUGCUGCAUGGCUGUCGUCAGCUCGUGUCGUGAGAUGUUCGGUUAAGUCCGGCAACGAGCGCAGCCCACACCCUUAGUUGCCAGCAGUUCGGCUGGGCACUCUAGGGGAACUGCCCGUGAUAAGCGGGAGGAAGGUGUGGAUGACGUCAAGUCCUCAUGGCCCUUACGGGUUGGGCUACACACGUGCUACAAUGGCAGUGACAAUGGGUUAAUCUCAAAAAGCUGUCUCAGUUCGGAUUGUCGUCUGCAACUCGACGGCAUGAAGUCGGAAUCGCUAGUAAUCGCGUAACAGCAUGACGCGGUGAUACGUUCCCGGGCCUUGUACACACCGCCCGUCACACCAUGGGAGUUGGGUUUACCCGAAGACGGUGCGCCAACCUUAGGGGGCAGCUGGCCAC
Molecule: ribosomal RNA, 617 nt
Filed under: uncultured organism
Description: bacterial SSU rRNA
Rfam family: Bacterial small subunit ribosomal RNA
Source: RNAcentral